UAGACGCUACGGACUUAAAAUCCGUCGACUUUAGAAAUCGUGA
This 43-nucleotide transfer RNA is filed under the name Senegalia modesta. Its description in RNAcentral is "partial tRNA-Leu". The record is from RNAcentral. Lineage: Eukaryota; Viridiplantae; Streptophyta; Magnoliopsida; Fabales; Fabaceae.